GACGAACCGUGCGAACGUUGUCCGGAAUCACUGGGCGUAAAGGGCGCGUAGGUGGCGCCCCAAGUCGAUGGUGAAAGCUCGCCGCUUAACGGCGAGUCGGCCACCGAUACUGGGUUGCUUGAGCACUGUAGAGGCUAAUGGAAUUCCGGGUGUAGCGGUGGAAUGCGUAGAGAUCCGGAAGAACGCCGGUGGCGAAGGCGGUUAGCUGGGCAGUUGCUGACACUGAGGCGCGACAGCGUGGGGAGCAAACAGG
This 253-nucleotide ribosomal RNA is filed under the name uncultured bacterium. RNAcentral's name for it is "partial 16S ribosomal RNA". It matches the Rfam family "Bacterial small subunit ribosomal RNA", at positions 524 to 776 of the family's 1533-position model. The record is from RNAcentral.